GGGGUGACACAGAAGGAUAGGGAAUCGCACGAAUGGAAAUGUGCGUCCAAGCAGUGAGUGUGAGAAGUAGGCAAAUCCGCUUCUCGCGAAGCAUGAGCUGUGAUGGGGAAGGAAAUUAAGUACGGAAGUUCCUGAUUUCACGCUGUCAAGAAAAGCCUCUAGGAAGAGUAGUACUGCCCGUACCGCAAACCGACACAGGUAGAUGAGGAGAGAAUCCUAAGGUGAGCGAGAGAACUCUCGUUAAGGAACUCGGCAAAAUGACCCCGUA
This 268-nucleotide ribosomal RNA is filed under the name Vibrio parahaemolyticus. Its description in RNAcentral is "partial 23S ribosomal RNA". It matches the Rfam family "Bacterial large subunit ribosomal RNA", at positions 1466 to 1732 of the family's 2925-position model. The record is from RNAcentral. Lineage: Bacteria; Pseudomonadati; Pseudomonadota; Gammaproteobacteria; Vibrionales; Vibrionaceae.